This 163-nucleotide ribosomal RNA is filed under the name Solidago ohioensis. RNAcentral's name for it is "5.8S ribosomal RNA". It matches the Rfam family "5.8S ribosomal RNA". Rfam says of the family: 5.8S ribosomal RNA (5.8S rRNA) is a component of the large subunit of the eukaryotic ribosome. It is transcribed by RNA polymerase I as part of the 45S precursor that also contains 18S and 28S rRNA. Lineage: Eukaryota; Viridiplantae; Streptophyta; Magnoliopsida; Asterales; Asteraceae. The record is from RNAcentral.
UAAACGACUCUCGGCAACGGAUAUCUCGGCUCACGCAUCGAUGAAGAACGUAGCAAAAUCGAUACUUGGUGUGAAUUGCAGAAUCCCGUGAACCAUCGAGUUUUUGAACGCAAGUUGCGCCCGAAGCCAUUCGGCCGAGGGCACGUCUGCCUGGGCGUCACGC